CUAUCCUGGACCCAAUGACACUGACAUAUUUGGGUUUUGAUGCACGAUUUGCGAGAAAAAAAGGGGUUUUAUUGGAUUUACACAUAUAUAUGUGUGGUUUAUGGAAAAUUGGUGAGGGGAUGGGUUUCGUCGUAAAUCGGCGACCAAAUCUAAUGAAACAAAAUUGUAGAUUCGAUGCCCCAGUCGUUCUGAACGUGCUGACGUGAUCUGAUCGAAAAUCUGACGGACGGAUCUCCGGGAAUCGCAGAAAAUUCGCUGAGGGGUCGAAAUUGGCAAAAUAGAAAAUCUGCGAAAGG
RNAcentral lists this long non-coding RNA (296 nucleotides) under Ananas comosus (pineapple). RNAcentral describes it as "long non-coding RNA (ACOM_LNC005310)". Lineage: Eukaryota; Viridiplantae; Streptophyta; Magnoliopsida; Poales; Bromeliaceae. The record is from RNAcentral.